CACUUAACAAAUCUCAAUCUCCCUCAGUACCCCAACCCAAACCCCACUCUCUCUCUCUGUGAAGCGGAAGGCGGCCAAGAUGGGAUCAGUCUCGCUGAAAAUAGGAGAUGGAACUGCCAGAUUCAAGAGAGCAACUGUGUGUUCCUCAGCAGUUAACAUUCUUAUGAUCUUCUCUGUUAUCUCCACUAAUCUUUUUGCUCUUUAUGCCUUCACAUCCUCGCCCAAACAUCAUCAAAAUCAUAUCUUUCACAAUACCCACAAGAACAUCUCUCUAAUCUCUGAACAAGUCUCUCUAAUCCUAAGAGAGAUUGAUUCUUCCCAAAAAAAACUUGCAAAGAUGGAAAAGGAGCUCUUGGGCUACGAAACCAUGGAUAUU
RNAcentral lists this unclassified non-coding RNA (376 nucleotides) under Hevea brasiliensis (rubber tree). Lineage: Eukaryota; Viridiplantae; Streptophyta; Magnoliopsida; Malpighiales; Euphorbiaceae. The record is from RNAcentral.